AUUGAACGCUGGCGGCAGGCCUAACACAUGCAAGUCGAGCGGAUGAAGGGAGCUUGCUCCUGGAUUCAGCGGCGGACGGGUGAGUAAUGCCUAGGAAUCUGCCUGGUAGUGGGGGAUAACGUCCGGAAACGGGCGCUAAUACCGCAUACGUCCUGAGGGAGAAAGUGGGGGAUCUUCGGACCUCACGCUAUCAGAUGAGCCUAGGUCGGAUUAGCUAGUUGGUGGGGUAAAGGCCUACCAAGGCGACGAUCCGUAACUGGUCUGAGAGGAUGAUCAGUCACACUGGAACUGAGGCACGGUCCAGACUCCUACGGGAGGCAGCAGUGGGGAAUAUUGGACAAUGGGCGAAAGCCUGAUCCAGCCAUGCCGCGUGUGUGAAGAAGGUCUUCGGAUUGUAAAGCACUUUAAGUUGGGAGGAGGGGCAGUAAGUUAAUACCUUGCUGUUUUGACGUUACCAACAGAAUAAGCACCGGCUAACUUCGUG
RNAcentral lists this ribosomal RNA (484 nucleotides) under uncultured bacterium. Its description in RNAcentral is "partial 16S ribosomal RNA". It matches the Rfam family "Bacterial small subunit ribosomal RNA", at positions 30 to 507 of the family's 1533-position model. The record is from RNAcentral.